CACGAACCGGACAAACGUUAUUCGGAAUUAUUGGGCUUAAAGGGUGCGUAGGCGGUGCGGUAAGUGAGGUGUGAAAUCCCUCGGCUCAACCGAGGAAUUGCGCUUCAUACUGCCGUGCUGGAGGGAGACAGGGGUAAGCGGAACUGAUGGUGGAGCGGUGAAAUGCGUUGAUAUCAUCAGGAACACCGGUGGCGAAAGCGGCUUACUGGGUCUUCUCUGACGCUGAGGCACGAAAGCUAGGGUAGCGAACGGG
RNAcentral lists this unclassified non-coding RNA (253 nucleotides) under uncultured Pirellulaceae bacterium. RNAcentral's name for it is "contains 16S-23S intergenic spacer region". It matches the Rfam family "Bacterial small subunit ribosomal RNA", at positions 524 to 776 of the family's 1533-position model. The record is from RNAcentral. Lineage: Bacteria; Pseudomonadati; Planctomycetota; Planctomycetia; Pirellulales; Pirellulaceae.